GGGCUGCGGCCAGGAAGGGGCCCAUGGGGUGGAGAGGCUGGGGUGGGCGGGUGAUCAGCAGCUUGGUGCAGAAGACUACGCUGCAGAGAAGCUAUGCUCGCAUUAUCUUUACUCUCGCUUAGUUCUCCUGCAACCUCCAGCGGUAGGACUAACAGGUGGAUUAUGCCCAUUUUACAGAGGAGGAGGGUGGGUCCGAGGUGAGGAGAGUCUCUGAGGAUGCGUUUGGACAGGAGCAGGGCCGGGAAGAGGGCUCCUGAUUUCCAGCCCCAUCGACAACAGAACAAGGGCCACGUGGGACCAGGAAAGGGAGCUCUUUGCCAGGACACCUGUGGGACAGGGGCCUGCUGGAUGAAGAGGGGUCAGGCGGUUGGUGGGCUACAUUUUCACCCUGCCAUGUGUAGCUGCAAUGAAAAGAGUGUGCUUUGAGGGGUGGAAUGACAUUCAGCAAAUGAGAAUGGAUUUGACCACCUCUGGGAGAGGAAAUGAUUGCCUUGUCACCACCACCUCCUGCUUUUCUCCCUUGCUGGCCGUCCUUCCUCCCACCACUGGCUUGUUUGGAAGUUGAGGACCCAAAGGAUCUGGGGUUCUGUGGCAUUUGUGGAAAACUCAUACAGCUCUCCUUCUGGAAGCAAAUGGAGACAGACGCGGAAGGGGGUGGGAUGGACUUGAUCUACCACGAAGACUGCUUACCACACUUCAACUGCCAACAGAUUCUUCUUGGACCCACUGGUUCUGCUGCAUGGGGCUGGCCAGCAACCCUUCCGUUAGCUGCGACCAACCAACUUCAUGCCCAGUAUUUCUGGCUUCUCCUGUCACUUCUGGUAUCUUGCACGGCCUCAGGAGGGGCUGGAUGAUGCAAUGAGUGUUUGCAGAGGAGUAAACUCCUCAUGAGAUGAAUUUUGACCAAUUGGAAACAGAAGAUGGGAGGAAGCCAGGAGGAUAGGAUAAACUCCCCCUCCUUCCUCUCCUGCUCUGAGAUAUAGUUUCUCUGUAUGGCCUGUCCCAGAAACAUGACAUCUCAUGUUGAGUGACCUGCUGUGUCACUUCAGGACUCAUUAGGAAACAAUGCCCAGCAAAGUAACCUCUCACCUUGCAUUGCUCCCAUCCUCUGCUAUAUGUAGGAGGCUUGGGGGACUUUGAGGCUGAUCCUGGAACAAGACAUGACCACAAGGUGGCAGUAUCACACACAGCUUUGUUUGGGAUGCUUGAUAGGUUUGAUGUUAUAUACAAAUUUCAAAUCCCAGGUGCACGUGAAAGGGGAGAAGGUUUUGGGUGAUGAAGUUCCUUCAGGCACUUCAAAUCAUGCCAUUUGAUAAAAGCAAGUGCGCGGUCCCACAACUCUUACCUAGGAGGAUCGGGCAGGACACCAUCAGCUCUUGUCAGGAAUCCCACUUAGGUUUGUUUGUGGCUUAAGACAAGUCCUACUCACACUUCACCUCUGAAAAAGGCAAUAUUGAGACUCCCGUGUGGGUUCCAAGUGGGACUGGAGUUUCUGACUCCUGUCUGAUCCACUGUCUCCACCCAUCCAACAUAAACGGAUGAAGAACUUAAUGUGGCCCUGUUUAAAAUUUUUGCAAAGA
Molecule: long non-coding RNA, 1580 nt
Organism: Equus caballus (horse)
Lineage: Eukaryota; Metazoa; Chordata; Mammalia; Perissodactyla; Equidae
Source: Ensembl